UACGAAGGUUACAAGCGUUAUUCGAAAUCACUGGGCUUAAAGGGUGCGCAAGCGGAAAUGUAAGUGUCUUGUGAAAUACCUUGGCUUAACCAGGGCAUUGCUCGGCAUACUGCAUUUCUUGAGGCAAGUAGAGGUGUGUGGAACUCUUGGUGGAGCGGUGGAAUGCGUAGAUAUCAAGAGGAACGCCGAAGGUGAAGACAGCACACUGGACUUGUCCUGACGCUCAUGCACGAAAGCGUGGGGAGCAAACAGG
This 253-nucleotide ribosomal RNA is filed under the name uncultured bacterium. RNAcentral describes it as "partial 16S ribosomal RNA". It matches the Rfam family "Bacterial small subunit ribosomal RNA", at positions 524 to 776 of the family's 1533-position model. The record is from RNAcentral.